GGGGUGCUCGAGUGGCGAACGGGUGAGUAACACGUGAGUAACCUGCCCUUGACUUUGGGAUAACUUCAGGAAACUGGGGCUAAUACCGGAUAGGAGCUCCUGCUGCAUGGUGGGGGUUGGAAAGUUUCGGCGGUUGGGGAUGGACUCGCGGCUUAUCAGCUUGUUGGUGGGGUAGUGGCUUACCAAGGCUUUGACGGGUAGCCGGCCUGAGAGGGUGACCGGCCACAUUGG
Molecule: ribosomal RNA, 231 nt
Filed under: Salmonella enterica subsp. enterica serovar Typhimurium
Lineage: Bacteria; Pseudomonadati; Pseudomonadota; Gammaproteobacteria; Enterobacterales; Enterobacteriaceae
Description: partial 16S ribosomal RNA
Rfam family: Bacterial small subunit ribosomal RNA
Source: RNAcentral